CGGCCGGGAACUCAAAGGAGACUGCCAGUGAUAAACUGGAGGAAGGUGGGGAUGACGUCAAGUCAUCAUGGCCCUUACGAGUAGGGCUACACACGUGCUACAAUGGCGCAUACAAAGAGAAGCGACCUCGCGAGAGCAAGCGGACCUCAUAAAGUGCGUCGUAGUCCGGAUUGGAG
RNAcentral lists this ribosomal RNA (176 nucleotides) under uncultured Enterobacter sp. Its description in RNAcentral is "partial 16S ribosomal RNA". It matches the Rfam family "Bacterial small subunit ribosomal RNA", at positions 1128 to 1303 of the family's 1533-position model. The record is from RNAcentral. Lineage: Bacteria; Pseudomonadati; Pseudomonadota; Gammaproteobacteria; Enterobacterales; Enterobacteriaceae.